Molecule: long non-coding RNA, 743 nt
Filed under: Ursus maritimus (polar bear)
Lineage: Eukaryota; Metazoa; Chordata; Mammalia; Carnivora; Ursidae
Description: lncRNA (ENSUMAG00000006004.1)
Source: RNAcentral
GCCUGCCUCCCCUCCCUAGCCGGCGACUGCCCCCUGCCCCACCCUGGUCUUGCAGUCGGUUGAGCGCCCUCCUGACCCCGUGAGUGCCAUCAGAGCGCGGCAGAGACGUGAAGAAGGGAGGGACUGUCUGCCCCUCUGCCGGCCUCGAUGUCCUCAUCUGUGAAAUGGGAGUGACAACUCGAAGGGACUUAGAAGAGGAACCAAACAAGGCAGAGGUCCGAGAUCCUGAUUACGGCUGGGAGGCACUUCUCGUUCGGGGCCAUGCAGCCUGCUGGCGACGACCAGGUGGCAGCCCUGGCCUGUCUGCUCACAGACUCUGCUGGUGGAAGGAAGGCGCGUCCUCAGCGGUCACCGCAGUGGCCCUGAGUGCAGCCCCUGCCACAGCGGCUAGAGGCCCAAGGAGGAUGCUUCCCCAUGCCCCCCUUCCUUCACUCUGCAGGCCUGUGCCCACCCACCUGUGCCCCUUCCUGACUCGCAGCUACCCUGCCCUACACCUUGAGCCCCUUGAAGGCACGUUGCUGGGGGGCUCGCUCUGGCCACAGUAAACAUCCCUGGAAGCAACAAAUGGGUCCUGGCCUCUUUCUCAUCCUGCCCCUGCCCCUGCCCUGGUGCCCGAUGUAAGCUGGGGGGAGGGGAGCCUCCGACGGGCUGCUUGCCUUGUCUGAACUGGGGAGAACCUCUUCUGUGUGGACUGGGCAGCGGGCACCUAGGGCCCCUGAGGGCUGCUGAGAUGCUGGGGGACG